RNAcentral lists this long non-coding RNA (788 nucleotides) under Phasianus colchicus (ring-necked pheasant). RNAcentral describes it as "lncRNA (ENSPCLG00000003278.1)". Lineage: Eukaryota; Metazoa; Chordata; Aves; Galliformes; Phasianidae. The record is from RNAcentral.
CACUGACAGAGCCUGGCUCACUCUGACUUGUUCCUGCAUCCUGCUGAGUGACUCUGUGAGGCUUGGAGGUCCAUAGACAAGGUCUUCAUACCCAAAAAGGAGCUGGUGCUGCCAUGUGCACACUGUUGCUCCCUGGAGCUGAACAAUAACAAUGGAAAAUGGGAAAAAAAAAUAAAUCUUGUGUUUUGUGUUCCACAUGCACCUCUGCUCAUAGGACCUUUACUGAGACUCACGAUUAUUCCUCUUGUGUGUUCAUCCUUGCCAGCUCCGCUAACCUGUUCAAAGAGGUUUAGCACUUUCUUUCUUUUUGAAGCACCAUCUGUGUUGUUUUGGUUUCAGCAAUGCAUCACUCAGCAGGACAGGUAUGAUGCCCUCACACAAGAAUGCAUCCAUGUGAGAGAUGAUGCAAAAGCUUCUGCUGAACUAUGUUUUAUAAAUAUGAAAACAGUCACGUAUUGGGCUAAAAAGACCCAGCUCUUUCAGCCUCUCCUUGUGCUUAACUGGACUCACAGGAUAGAAGUGCAAUAAAAUACAUUCUGGUGAGAAGUAAUAAUGUCUUGUCCUGGUACGUAUAACCAUUACACUCUAAAAAAAAGUAGAUACAUGAGUUUUGCUAACUUGGGAAGAACAGUUUUUGUAAAGGUCUGAUAACAGAAUAGAAGAUUAAAUAGUCCAGGUCCUUAUGUCAGUCAUAAUUGCAAAAUGAAUUUGAAAGUUUAAGUAAUCCCAGCUAACAAGUUUAUAAAGUCAUUUUUACCAAAUAAAUAUGCAGGUCCUUUGUAUGGCCA